GCCGAGGUAGUCUAGCCAGACAAGGCGUCAGACUGAUAAUCCGAUAGAUCGCGUCAUGUCAUCGCGGGUUCGAAUCCCGUCCUCGGCG
Molecule: transfer RNA, 88 nt
Filed under: Candidatus Methanoperedens sp.
Lineage: Archaea; Methanobacteriati; Methanobacteriota; Methanomicrobia; Methanosarcinales; Candidatus Methanoperedentaceae
Description: tRNA-Ile
Rfam family: tRNA
About the family: Transfer RNA (tRNA) molecules are approximately 80 nucleotides in length. Their secondary structure includes four short double-helical elements and three loops (D, anti-codon, and T loops). Further hydrogen bonds mediate the characteristic L-shaped molecular structure. tRNAs have two regions of fundamental functional importance: the anti-codon, which is responsible for specific mRNA codon recognition, and the 3' end, to which the tRNAs corresponding amino acid is attached (by aminoacyl-tRNA synthetases). tRNAs cope with the degeneracy of the genetic code in two manners: having more than one tRNA (with a specific anti-codon) for a particular amino acid; and 'wobble' base-pairing, i.e. permitting non-standard base-pairing at the 3rd anti-codon position.
Source: RNAcentral